AGGACUGCCAGCAGGCUGUCACCUCUCACCAGGUUGGCAGAAAAAGAAAACAUUAGCAGCCAAAUUAGCCAGUCUGCCUGUGGAAUGAAGGCUCCAGUUUUUGACCUCUAAUGAAAGAAGAAAGAAUACUCAUUGAGGUUUCAGCUGCUUGGGGCCAUUUAGGCAUGGAUUUUCUUCUGCCUCUGCCACCUGGAGACAGGAAGACCAACCCCUCCUGCCCUCCUCCUCCCUAGCCUAGCCAAUGUGAAGAUGACAAGAAUGAAGACGUUUAUGAUGAUCCACUUCCACUUGAU
This 293-nucleotide long non-coding RNA is filed under the name Homo sapiens (human). RNAcentral describes it as "HSALNT0312549". The record is from RNAcentral. Lineage: Eukaryota; Metazoa; Chordata; Mammalia; Primates; Hominidae.